Molecule: ribosomal RNA, 460 nt
Filed under: uncultured bacterium
Lineage: Bacteria
Description: partial 16S ribosomal RNA
Rfam family: Bacterial small subunit ribosomal RNA
Source: RNAcentral
CCUACGGGGGGCUGCAGUGAGGAAUAUUGGUCAAUGGACGCAAGUCUGAACCAGCCAUGCUGCGUGCAGGAAGACGGCUCUAUGAGUUGUAAACUGCUUUUGUACGAGGGUAAACGCAGAUACGCGUAUCUGUCUGAAAGUAUCGUACGAAUAAGGAUCGGCUAACUCCGUGCCAGCAGCCGCGGUAAUACGGAGGAUUCAAGCGUUAUCCGGAUUUAUUGGGUUUAAAGGGUGCGUAGGCGGUCGGAUAAGUUAGAGGUGAAAUCCCGAGGCUCAACUUCGGAAUUGCCUCUGAUACUGUUCGGCGAGAGAGUAGUUGCGGUAGGCGGAAUGUAUGGUGUAGCGGUGAAAUGCUUAGAGAUCAUACAGAACACCGAUUGCGAAGGCAGCUUACCAAGCUACUUCUGACGUUGAGGCACGAAAGCGUGGGGAGCAAACAGGAGUAGAUACCCUUGUAGUC